UCUAUUUUGGCAGAUUUAUGUAUUAAAUUUAGAAUUUAAUUAAAUGUAAUUGAUUUACAUAUAUAGAA
RNAcentral lists this transfer RNA (68 nucleotides) under Marilia sp. XG-2021. Its description in RNAcentral is "tRNA-Leu". Lineage: Eukaryota; Metazoa; Arthropoda; Insecta; Trichoptera; Odontoceridae. The record is from RNAcentral.